GAUGAACGCUGGCGGCGUGCCUAAUACAUGCAAGUCGAGCGAACGGACGAGAAGCUUGCUUCUCUGAUGUUAGCGGCGGACGGGUGAGUAACACGUGGAUAACCUACCUAUAAGACUGGGAUAACUUCGGGAAACCGGAGCUAAUACCGGAUAAUAUUUUGAACCGCAUGGUUCAAAAGUGAAAGACGGUCUUGCUGUCACUUAUAGAUGGAUCCGCGCUGCAUUAGCUAGUUGGUACGGUAACGGCUUACCAAGGCAACGAUGCAUAGCCGACCUGAGAGGGUGAUCGGCCACACUGGAACUGAGACACGGUCCAGACUCCUACGGGAGGCAGCAGUAGGGAAUCUUCCGCAAUGGGCGAAAGCCUGACAGAGCAACGCCGCGUGAGUGAUGAAGGUCUUCGGAUCGUAAAACUCUGUUAUUAGGGAAGAACAUAUGUGUAAGUAACUGUGCACAUCUUGACGGUACCUAAUCAGAAAGCCACGGCUAACUACGUG
RNAcentral lists this ribosomal RNA (497 nucleotides) under uncultured bacterium. Its description in RNAcentral is "partial 16S ribosomal RNA". It matches the Rfam family "Bacterial small subunit ribosomal RNA", at positions 28 to 507 of the family's 1533-position model. The record is from RNAcentral.